CAGCCGCCGCGGUAAUACGGAGGGUGCAAGCGUUAAUCGGAAUUACUGGGCGUAAAGCGUGCGUAGGCGGUUCGUUAAGUCUGUUGUGAAAGCCCCGGGCUCAACCUGGGAAUGGCAAUGGAUACUGGCGAGCUAGAGUGUGUCAGAGGAUGGUGGAAUUCCCGGUGCAGCGGUGAAAUGCGUAGAGAUCGGGAGGAACAUCAGUGGCGAAGGCGGCCAUCUGGGACAACACUGACGCUGGGGCACGAAAGCGUGGGGAGCAAACAGGAUUAGAUACCCCCGUAGUCCCUGUCUCUUAUAC
Molecule: ribosomal RNA, 301 nt
Filed under: uncultured bacterium
Lineage: Bacteria
Description: partial 16S ribosomal RNA
Rfam family: Bacterial small subunit ribosomal RNA
Source: RNAcentral